CCUCUUUGUUGUUUGAGUCACUUUGAGAGGACUAUUCCUAAAAGCCAAAUUUAACAACACAUCCAGCCUCAGACUCAGGUCCCUGGACUUUGGGACUCAUUCUGCUCGACUUGAUCCCUGCUCUGCCCAUUGAUCACAUACACACGUUUACACCUGGCAGAAGAGGAAGAGGAGGCAUGAAGGAAUGGCCUCUUCAGAAUGGAGAAAAGCCUUCCCCAUGAGAACAUGCCUAAGACAGACUGCUGAAGAAGGCGGCAAAUGGAACAGCGCUGAAUCAGCCUGGUCAUCCCAGUCAAGCCUCCAGACAUAAUAUGAAAGUUCAUCAGCAAGCCAGCACACAGGGAAAGCAUAUUGAAAUGAGCAUUAUGG
RNAcentral lists this long non-coding RNA (369 nucleotides) under Homo sapiens (human). RNAcentral's name for it is "HSALNT0354674". The record is from RNAcentral. Lineage: Eukaryota; Metazoa; Chordata; Mammalia; Primates; Hominidae.